This 490-nucleotide ribosomal RNA is filed under the name uncultured bacterium. RNAcentral describes it as "partial 16S ribosomal RNA". It matches the Rfam family "Bacterial small subunit ribosomal RNA", at positions 30 to 507 of the family's 1533-position model. The record is from RNAcentral.
AUUGAACGCUGUCGGCAGGCCUAACACAUGCAAGUUGAACGGUAACAGGAAGAAGCUUGCUUCUUUGCUGACGAGUGUCGGACGCGUGUGUAAUGUCUGGGAAACUUCCUGAUGGAGGGGGAUAACUACUGGAAACGGUAGCUAAUACCGCAUAAUGUCGCAAUACCAAAGAGGGGGACCUUCGGGCCUCUUGCCCUCUGAUGUGCCCAGAUGUGAUUAGCUAGUAGGUGGGGUAACGGCUCACCUAUGCGAAUAUCCCUAGCUGGUCUGAGAGGAUGACCAGCCACAAAGGAACUGAGACACGGUCAAGACUCAUACGGGAGGCAGCAGUGGGGAAUAUUGCACAAGGGGCGAAAGACGGAUGCAGCUAGGCAGCGUGUAUGAAGAAGGACUUCGGGUUGGAAAGUACUUCCAGAGGGGAGGAAGGGAGUAAAGUUAAUACCGUUGCUCAUUGACGUGACCCGCAGAAGAAGCAACGGAUAACUCCGUG